AUGAAUACACUGGACGCUCUCUUUAGAGGUCCGACCCUUCAUUACCUUCACACUGUGCACACACUUCAUUUUUACACCCAUUUUUAAACACUAUAGUAUAAGAAUGUACCAGUCUCUUAAUUGAGCAUAAAUAUAUAAUA
This 140-nucleotide unclassified non-coding RNA is filed under the name uncultured Rhodotorula. Its description in RNAcentral is "sequence contains ITS1". The record is from RNAcentral. Lineage: Eukaryota; Fungi; Basidiomycota.